ACGAUCAGAUGUGUACAUGUGUC
Molecule: non-coding RNA, 23 nt
Filed under: Arabidopsis thaliana (thale cress)
Lineage: Eukaryota; Viridiplantae; Streptophyta; Magnoliopsida; Brassicales; Brassicaceae
Source: RNAcentral